Molecule: long non-coding RNA, 566 nt
Filed under: Dromaius novaehollandiae (emu)
Lineage: Eukaryota; Metazoa; Chordata; Aves; Casuariiformes; Dromaiidae
Description: lncRNA (ENSDNVG00000012815.1)
Source: RNAcentral
CCUGUGUGCUGUUUUUUAAGGAACCACUGCUUAUUAAUUGUUUUACCAGUUCUGGCACAGUCCUGGAAAGAGACUCAAGGCUGCAAGCCCUUCCAAAAAUCAAUGAUCCUGGAACCUCUGGAGGAAUUUGUAAAUUUGAAGGGAAAGUCUUUUUCCAUGUCCUGUAAUGUGACUGUGGGAUGCAAACACCAAAGAAAACACUGAACAGCUAUGAUGGGUAGCUACGAACAAGGAAGCAUAUGCUGAUCCAAGAGGAACAACUCUCAAGAUCUCAUUCCAGUUCCAAGGAAGAGGAUCAAUUUCUCAUUUUUUUCAGAUUUAGAAUAUUGAAUGAACCGGCUUUUCUUUCAAGAAAAAUUUCAUGUUCCCAAUUUCUUCUCUUCCAAAUAAGAAGCAUAAGCUAGAAGUUAUAUUUUUUCCCUUAAAAUAGUUUUUUAAAUGAUUUUGGGAAAACCAAAAAAGUGGUCAGCACAAAAAUGUUUGGAAUUUAUUUAAAAAGCAUAUAGUUUAGAGUUGACAACAUGAAAGGCAAUUACCUAAGAAUCCAUAUUUGUUCAUGAAACAUG